This is a small nucleolar RNA of Mangifera indica (mango), 86 nucleotides long. RefSeq annotates it as small nucleolar RNA snoR8a. The transcript has a single exon. The record is from RefSeq and is a predicted model, not a curated record. Lineage: Eukaryota; Viridiplantae; Streptophyta; Magnoliopsida; Sapindales; Anacardiaceae.
GGUGUUGCGAUGAUUAUAAGAUAAUUCCUCGUUCUGAAUGCGUAUAUGCAUGACAGACUCUUUUACACCCAUAGAAUAUGAGCUCU